RNAcentral lists this ribosomal RNA (254 nucleotides) under uncultured bacterium. RNAcentral's name for it is "partial 16S ribosomal RNA". It matches the Rfam family "Bacterial small subunit ribosomal RNA", at positions 524 to 776 of the family's 1533-position model. The record is from RNAcentral.
UACGGAAGGGGGCUAGCGUUGCUCGGAAUCACUGGGCGUAAAGGGUGCGUAGGCGGGUUUUUAAGUCAGAGGUGAAAUCCUGGAGCUCAACUCCAGAACUGCCUUUGAUACUGGGAAUCUUGAGUAUGGAAGAGGUGAGUGGAACUGCGAGUGUAGAGGUGAAAUUCGUAGAUAUUCGCAAGAACACCAGUGGCGAAGGCGGCUCACUGGUCCAUAACUGACGCUGAGGCACGAAAGCGUGGGGAGCAAACAGG